Zingiber officinale is the source of this 800-nucleotide long non-coding RNA. RefSeq lists it as uncharacterized. Lineage: Eukaryota; Viridiplantae; Streptophyta; Magnoliopsida; Zingiberales; Zingiberaceae. The transcript has 3 exons. The record is from RefSeq and is a predicted model, not a curated record.
CCUGUUUGGAUUACCCAUUUAAGCGAGGAAAUGUUUAUUUCUUAAAAUCCUUUUUCUUUUUAUUUUGUUUUCUCUUUUUCCUUAUUUCCUCCGUUUCUCUUCCUCGCACACCCGAGCCGCUCCCUUCUUCUUCGCCCGACGUCGUCUCCCCCUGCCCUAACUGCUCGAGGCAGUUCUUCUCUUCUCCUUUUAUUUUCCUUCUUCUUCUCCACUUCGCCUUCCAGUGCCGAGCUCUUUCUCCACUUGGCAGCGACGCCGACCACCUCCUCUGUACCGGCCACCAGAUCUGCCCCAGUGCCGUUGUCGCCUUUGCCCUAGCGCCGCCGCCGAGCCUAGCAUCUCCACCGAUGCCGAGCAGUGCCGGCGUCCCAUCCUCUGCCCUAGACUCACUCAGCACCGUCGGCCACCCAUGCCCUAGCCACUGCUUACUUCUUGAAGUGGUUUUGCUCGGGUUGUUUCCGGCCAGAAGCAAGGAUUCAAUUUAUUGCUUCUUCCUCUCUGCCACAUCUCGGCAUAGCGCCGCUGGCCACAGGAAACCCUAGUUGAGUGUAGCCCUAGCCAGUAUUCAACAGCCGCUGGAACCAGCCGCCGAAGAAGGAACUGCUGAUUCGAGGAAGCCACAAGGUUCCUGGCAGCAACUUCGCUGUGACUUCGGCAACAAAUUUCUAGCAUCAAUAGGGGGCUGUGAGAAUUGAGGUAAGGUGUAGUGUAAUUGUUUCUUAUGUUGUAGUGUGUACUGAUUUGAAGGAAAGGUUAGGAAUGAGAUUAGACUCAAAUUUUUAUUGAGUUCAGGUUGACUA